GACGAACGCUGGCGGCGUGCUUAACACAUGCAAGUCGAACGGAAAGGCCUGCUUUCCCUUGUGGAUUGCGGGUACUCGAGUGGCGAACGGGUGAGUAACACGUGAGUGAUCUGCCCCCAACUUGGGUAUAAGCCUGGGAAACUGGGUCUAAUUCCCGAUAGGACUGCAGGGUGGUGCCUGUGGUGGAAAACGAUUUUCUAGUGGUUGGGGAUGAGCUCGCGGCCUAUCAGCUUGUUGGUGGGGUAAUGACCUACCAAGGCGGCGACGGGUAGCCGGCCCGAGAGGGUGGACGGCCACAUUGGGACUGAGAUACGGCCCAGACUCCUACGGGAGGCAGCAGUGGGGAAUAUUGCACAAUGGGCGGAAGCCUGAUGCAGCGACGCCGCGUGGGGGAUGACGGCCUUCGGGUUGUAAACUCCUUUCGACCGCGAGGAAGCCACCUGGUUGGAAGGGUGGUGACGGUAGUGGUAGAAGAAGCACCGGCUAACUACGUG
Molecule: ribosomal RNA, 494 nt
Filed under: uncultured bacterium
Lineage: Bacteria
Description: partial 16S ribosomal RNA
Rfam family: Bacterial small subunit ribosomal RNA
Source: RNAcentral